GAAUCUCGUAUAAGUGAUUUCCUUAUGUGGCAGUUAAAAUAUACUGUAUUGUAUUUUGCCAAAAUAUUUUGGCCAGAGAUAACUCUUUGGCAUUUUCUGGCUGGUAUAUUUUCCUAUCAACGAGCUAGUGUACACUUGGAACCUUUUAAACGAAAACAAAGCACUAAAUAUGCAAUAACUAAGAUGAAUACUUUGAGCAUGAAUCGUGUUCAAUUGUUUUUAAAACAGUUAGAUAUUUAUAGGGCAGAACUCUUAUCAAAGUUACGAAACAAAACGUUUUAAUGCGUUUAGAUGUAAAUGAGUGAUGCCCGUUAUUGUACCAAAGCUUUCUUUCUGUAGUAAAUAAACUGCUAUUAUAUAAGUA
Molecule: long non-coding RNA, 364 nt
Organism: Glossina fuscipes
Lineage: Eukaryota; Metazoa; Arthropoda; Insecta; Diptera; Glossinidae
Exons: 2
Source: RefSeq, a predicted model, not a curated record